GUAUUUACCUGGCAGGAGAACAUCCAUUAUCACAAAGCUGUCCUUCCCACGGCAAGGCUCAUCCAUUGCACUCCAGAUGAGCUGACCCCUGUGGUUUCUUCAUAUGUGGGGAACUGCACUCACUCUCCCUGCAAUAAAAAUACAUAAGUAGGCUGGGACAGUGGCCCAUGCCUAU
This 175-nucleotide small nuclear RNA is filed under the name Saimiri boliviensis boliviensis (Bolivian squirrel monkey). RNAcentral describes it as "U1 spliceosomal RNA (ENSSBOG00000015534.1)". The record is from RNAcentral. Lineage: Eukaryota; Metazoa; Chordata; Mammalia; Primates; Cebidae.